This 429-nucleotide ribosomal RNA is filed under the name Chloroflexota bacterium. RNAcentral describes it as "Chloroflexi bacterium partial 16S ribosomal RNA". It matches the Rfam family "Bacterial small subunit ribosomal RNA", at positions 355 to 776 of the family's 1533-position model. Lineage: Bacteria; Bacillati; Chloroflexota. The record is from RNAcentral.
UGGGGAAUAUUGCACAAUGGGCGCAAGCCUGAUGCAGCCAUGCCGCGUGUAUGAAGAAGGCCUUCGGGUUGUAAAGUACUUUCAGUCGGGAGGAAGGUGGUAAGGUUAAUAACCUUGGCAAUUGACGUUACCGACAGAAGAAGCACCGGCUAACUCCGUGCCAGCAGCCGCGGUAAUACGGAGGGUGCAAGCGUUAAUCGGAAUUACUGGGCGUAAAGCGCACGCAGGCGGUUGAUUGAGUCAGAUGUGAAAUCCCCGGGCUUAACCCGGGAAUUGCAUCUGAUACUGGUCAGCUAGAGUCUUGUAGAGGGGGGUGGAAUUCCAUGUGUAGCGGUGAAAUGCGUAGAGAUGUGGAGGAAUACCGGUGGCGAAGGCGGCCCCCUGGACGAAGACUGACGCUCAGGUGCGAAAGCGUGGGGAGCAAACAGG